This 389-nucleotide ribosomal RNA is filed under the name uncultured bacterium. RNAcentral's name for it is "bacterial SSU rRNA". It matches the Rfam family "Bacterial small subunit ribosomal RNA", at positions 28 to 417 of the family's 1533-position model. The record is from RNAcentral.
GACGAACGCUGGCGGCGUGCUUAACACAUGCAAGUCGAGCGAGGCCCCUCCUUCGGGAGGGUGCCCUAGCGGCGAACGGGUGAGUAACACGUGGGCAACCUGCCCCUAGCACUGGGAUAACCCCGGGAAACCGGGGCUAAUACCGGAUACGACUUCAGAGGGCAUCCUCCGAAGUGGAAAAGGUUACUGGCUAGGGAUGGGCCCGCGGCCUAUCAGCUUGUUGGUGGGGUAAUGGCCUACCAAGGCGACGACGGGUAGCCGGCCUGAGAGGGCGACCGGCCACACUGGGACUGAGACACGGCCCAGACUCCUACGGGAGGCAGCAGUGGGGAAUAUUGCACAAUGGGCGAAAGCCUGAUGCAGCGACGCCGCGUGAGGGAUGACGGCCU